AACGAACGCUGGCGGCGUGCUUAAUACAUGCAAGUCGAACGAGGUGCUUUCGUAGCAAUACGAAAGUAUCCUAGUGGCGAACGGGUGAGUAACGCGUUGGUGACCUACCCCAAAGUGUGGGAUAACAGUUCGAAAGAACUGCUAAUACCGCAUGUGGUUAUCGGAUUUAGAAACUGAUAACUAAAGGAGCAAUUCGCUUUGGGAGGGACCUGCGUCCCAUCAGCUAGUUGGUGAGGUAAUGGCUCACCAAGGCUACGACGGGUAGGGGACCUGAGAGGGUGACCCCCCCACAAUGGAACUGAAACACGGUCCAUACACCUACGGGUGGCAGCAGUAGGGAAUAUUGCACAAUGGGCGAAAGCCUGAUGCAGCAACGCCGCGUGUGCGAUGAAGGCCCUCGGGUCGUAAAGCACUUUUCUGAGAGAUGAGCAAGGACAGUAUCUCAGGAAUAAGUCUCGGCUAACUACGUG
Molecule: ribosomal RNA, 470 nt
Filed under: uncultured bacterium
Lineage: Bacteria
Description: bacterial SSU rRNA
Rfam family: Bacterial small subunit ribosomal RNA
Source: RNAcentral